GACGAACGCUGGCGGCGUGCCUAACACAUGCAAGUCGAACGGAACUGUUUUGAAAGAUUUCUUCGGAAUGAAUUUGAUUUAGUUUAGUGGCGGACGGGUGAGUAACGCGUGAGUAACCUGCCUUCAAGAGGGGGAUAACAUUCUGAAAAGAAUGCUAAUACCGCAUGACAUAUCGGAACCACAUGGUUUUGAUAUCAAAGAUUUUAUCGCUUGAAGAUGGACUCGCGUCCGAUUAGUUAGUUGGUGAGGUAACGGCUCACCAAGACCGCGAUCGGUAGCCGGACUGAGAGGUUGAACGGCCACAUUGGGACUGAGACACGGCCCAGACUCCUACGGGAGGCAGCAGUGGGGGAUAUUGCGCAAUGGGGGCAACCCUGACGCAGCAACGCCGCGUGAAGGAUGAAGGUUUUCGGAUUGUAAACUUCUUUUAUUAAGGACGAAAAAUGACGGUACUUAAUGAAUAAGCUC
This 468-nucleotide ribosomal RNA is filed under the name uncultured bacterium. RNAcentral's name for it is "bacterial SSU rRNA". It matches the Rfam family "Bacterial small subunit ribosomal RNA", at positions 28 to 493 of the family's 1533-position model. The record is from RNAcentral.